UUUUAGUGCCUUUAUGGACCCCACACAUACGAGUUCACAGGACAUCAGCUCUGGAUAUUAUCUUUAUCUAGUUGAGUCCAGGCCACGUCCUCCCAGCCUAGACCCAUAUUAAUAUUAUCCCAUAUUGAUAUUAAUGCCUGACAUUUGAUUUCUUCUCCUGCAGUUGUCAAUAAACCAGCGCCCUCUCUAUGAUCUACGCAGAUUAUAAGAACGUUUUUGCUCCGCAGCUGACUGGCGGAGCUUUGGUGUUCGACAAACAUGCCUGUAAACUUCUGGGAAACAGUUUUAUUCUCUGAAGAGAGUAAGUCCAACAUAUCUGGUUCAGAUGGUGUUCAAUAUGUUUGUCGAAAGCCAAAAAAAAUAACUUGAUCUAAAAGGAGUGUUAUACCAGCAACUAAAAAUAGAGGUCAGCCAAUGGUUUGGGGCUGUAUGAGCUACAGAGAUGUGGGAGAAUUUGCAAUUGUUGAAGGGAUUACGAAUGCUAAGGAAUAUACGGAUAUAUUGCAGGGUAAUUUAAAGAAUGGUGUUCACAAAUUUCAGAUCAAAGACUUGCAUUUCUUGCCAUAAGAUAAUUCUGACUGAAUUAUGAUGGGCUAUGGGCAAAAGGAAAUAAGGAUGCCUCACCUCAGUAACGUGUCCACUAUGGUUGCGGAUAAAACACAGUUUUUAUGCAUCUGGUGUUCAUGGCUCUUUCCUGCUCAUAGCAUAAAGAUAACUAUCUACAUCCACCUAGGGAAGAGUUAUAUCACUGGGUACACCUGCACCUCCAGGAACUUCUCAGUGUGGAGAUCAUGGGAAAAAUUUAACUUUCAGCAUAAAAUUAAGCAAACUUGCCAUUGGUAUGUGAUACGUUCUUAUGAACAUCAAUCUGACUUCUUGUGUUUCAAAGAUAUCUUAGUUUGUAUGAUUCAGAUCAAUGUACUACUUCCACGUUCAACAUUAAUGUAGUAAAACACAGAAUUAGAAUCGGUAACAUUUUAUCUCUGAAACAACAAAAUAGCUAUAUGAUCCUUAUAUUUCCAUACACGCCUCAUGGACAGAGAAUUUUAUCUCUUUAUUUCUGGUGUUCUGAUUACCAAGCAAAAAUAUCAAAGGGAGAACUUAUCUGAGUUCUAAAAGAACCUCUACAUACAGUAUAUAACCUAUGUAAGACAAUCUUUCUAUCAACAUAAUCAACGUCUUUGCUUGAAAUGUCUAAUUAAGAAACUGGGUAAACUAUGUAUCUUAGGAGCUGUGAUGAUAAGGAUAAUAAGUGUACAUGCCCAUACACACACACAGGUUUAUUGAACAAUAAAAAUGUUUACAA
Molecule: long non-coding RNA, 1306 nt
Organism: Zootermopsis nevadensis
Lineage: Eukaryota; Metazoa; Arthropoda; Insecta; Blattodea; Termopsidae
Source: RefSeq, a predicted model, not a curated record